GAACGCUAGCGGCAGGCCUAAUACAUGCAAGUCGAACGGCAACACGGGUAGCAAUACCUGGUGGCGAGUGGCGCACGGGUGCGUAACGCGUAUGCAACCUACCCUUAACUGAGACAUAACCUGGCGAAAGCUGGGCUAAUAUCUCAUGAGGUUUAUGGGAGGCAUCUUCUAUAAAUCAAAGUCUGGAAAGAUGGUUAAGGAUGGGCAUGCGUCCCAUUAGCUAGUUGGUGAGGUAAAGGCUCACCAAGGCGACGAUGGGUAGGGGUUCUGAGAGGAAGGUCCCCCACACUGGUACUGAGACACGGACCAGACUCNUACGGGAGGCAGCAGUAAGGAAUAUUGGGCAAUGGUCGGAANACUGACCCAGCCCAUGCCGCGUGCAGGAANAAGGCCCUAUGGGUUGUAAACUGCUUUAGCCAGGGGCUAAACCUACCGAUGCGUUGGUAGCUGAAGGUACCUGGANAAUAANCAUCGGCUAACUCCGUGCCAGCAGCCGCGGUAAUACGGAGGAUGCGAG
Molecule: ribosomal RNA, 517 nt
Filed under: uncultured bacterium
Lineage: Bacteria
Description: bacterial SSU rRNA
Rfam family: Bacterial small subunit ribosomal RNA
Source: RNAcentral